Schizosaccharomyces pombe (fission yeast) is the source of this 812-nucleotide non-coding RNA. The record is from the annotation of a GenBank genome assembly. NCBI's taxonomy places the organism in Eukaryota, Fungi, Ascomycota, Schizosaccharomycetes, Schizosaccharomycetales, Schizosaccharomycetaceae.
UAUGCAUUUUUCCGUCAAAAACGAAAGGCGACUCGGAGAGCAAGUGCCUCUUUCCCAUACUUGAGUAACGUGACCAAGAGAAGCCAUGUACCCCAUAACUACAGAACCUUUAGCAGCCCUUGCACGCUCAUCCACAUAAUCAGGAUCAAUCCAAUAUUCAUCCGUAUUGGGAUUAAAUAAUACACUCGAGCCCGUCACCAAAUCUAUGCAGUCGAUGUUAGCAUCAGCUAUUGCACUUGAUGCGCAACUUAUAGCAGCAGCCAAUGUUGCUAAUGCACCGUCACUUUCAAUCACUUGAAUAUAAACGUCUAUAGAACUUUUCGGAUACAAAUGCAGUAAUAUACUUGGAGAAAUUGCUGCUUCAAUCAUUUGGGAAUAGCUUUUUUCUUCGACGGUUUGUACAUGUCCCUGACGAACAGAAGUAGAAAAUGGGGAUAAUCUAAAUUCACAAUUCAACUUUGCUGAUGAACGAAAAGCAAAAGUCUUACUAGGUCGAGGACCAGAGACUGUGCAUGCAAUUUUUAUUUUUUCUGAUUCAAAAUAACUGCUACCGACAGCUUUAGUAGCCCACCCUAAUUUUAGAUCUAAUUGUCAGUGAAAAUGUUAAUAAUCGGUAUCUUACAUAUUUUUCGACAUCUGUCAACAUCACGAGUCCGCGUGAAAACAGGUUGUUCUGGCUCUUCAAAAUAAGGGGGAACGGAUACACUCGGUCCAUACACUCUCUUUCUAUCUGACAUCGAUUUAUAGAGUAUUUGUUUUAACCUUGAUGUACCGUUAAGAAAACAAUACAGAAGCAGCCUGGAUUUUCAGUG